RNAcentral lists this ribosomal RNA (441 nucleotides) under uncultured bacterium. RNAcentral's name for it is "partial 16S ribosomal RNA". It matches the Rfam family "Bacterial small subunit ribosomal RNA", at positions 338 to 792 of the family's 1533-position model. The record is from RNAcentral.
CCUACGGGGUGCUGCAGUGGGGAAUAUUGCACAAUGGGCGAAAGCCUGAUGCAGCAACGCCGCGUGAAGGAAGAAGGGUUUCGGCUCGUAAACUUCUAUCAACAGGGACGAAAGAAAUGACGGUACCUGAAUAAGAAGCCCCGGCUAACUACGUGCCAGCAGCCGCGGUAAUACGUAGGGGGCAAGCGUUAUCCGGAAUUACUGGGUGUAAAGGGUGAGUAGGCGGCAUGGUAAGCCAGAUGUGAAAGCCUUGGGCUUAACCCGAGGAUUGCAUUUGGAACUAUCAAGCUAGAGUACAGGAGAGGAAAGCGGAAUUCCUAGUGUAGCGGUGAAAUGCGUAGAUAGUAGGAGGAACACCAGUGGCGAAGGCGGUCUGCUGGACAGCAACUGACGCUGAGGCGCGAAAGCGUGGGGAGCAAACAGGAUUAGAUACCCCUGUUC